GCGCCCAUGGCUCAAUUGGAUAGAGCGACAGGUUGCGGACCUGUAGGUUGGCGGUUCAAGUCCGCCUGGGCGUG
Candidatus Omnitrophica bacterium CG1_02_41_171 is the source of this 74-nucleotide non-coding RNA. NCBI's taxonomy places the organism in Bacteria, Pseudomonadati, Candidatus Omnitrophota. The record is from Rfam.